RNAcentral lists this long non-coding RNA (389 nucleotides) under Gallus gallus (chicken). RNAcentral describes it as "long non-coding RNA NONGGAT005042". The record is from RNAcentral. Lineage: Eukaryota; Metazoa; Chordata; Aves; Galliformes; Phasianidae.
UGCUCGAGGACGUUCUUUUCCUACCUCUGCAUUUGAUUUAUAGAAAUGCAUGCUGCACCAUCCAGGUGCAUCCAAGGGAGAAUCAGAAGUGAAGGAACUGUCACAGACUCAGUCUUGCACAAACCAUUGCAAUCUCUAUUCUGCACUGUCCUUCAGUUUCCUGAGGAAGCAAAAAUUCCUCAGGAUUGAAGAGCAUGACCAUGCAUAGCAAACAGCGAGCCAGGGGACGUGUCAGCACUUCUGGUUGAGGACACAACUCUGACACCCCAAGGCCUUGUGGACAGCCUCACACCUUAAAGUCAGAGAGGGUGAUGUUGAGACCAAGAUGAAACCAUGCAGAAGAUCCAUCAGGUACCUGAUCACUGUAUUUUGCACUUCAGGCAAUUCCA